RNAcentral lists this ribosomal RNA (296 nucleotides) under uncultured Metallosphaera sp. RNAcentral describes it as "partial 16S ribosomal RNA". The stretch from base 47 to 296 matches the Rfam family "Bacterial small subunit ribosomal RNA", at positions 547 to 795 of the family's 1533-position model. Lineage: Archaea; Thermoproteati; Thermoproteota; Thermoprotei; Sulfolobales; Sulfolobaceae. The record is from RNAcentral.
CGAGGGGGAGGGGGGGGGGGAAAUAGGGUGGGGGCGGGCGUUGGGCGGAGUUAUGGGGCGGAAGGAGCAUGUUGGGUGUUCGGCAAGUCGGAUGUGAAAUCUCCAGGCGUAACGUGGAGGGGCCAUUCGAGACUGCCGUGACUCGGGGCCGGUAGGGGAGGGUGGAAUUCCCGGUGUAGCGGGGAAAUGCGCAGAUAUCGGGAGGAACACCAGUAGCGAAGGCGGCACUCUGGGCCGGUACUGACGCUGAGGAGCGAAAGCGUGGGGAGCGAACAGGAUUAGAUACCCGAGUAGUC